CUCCGCCCCGGCCCAGCCGCUCUCCGCCCUCCCCGAGCAGCCGCUCCCCGGCAGCGCGCCCACCCCACGCUUGGGUCCGGGAGAAGCUGGCGAGUUGUAACAUGAGGUGGCGUGGGGUGACGAAGGACCACGAUGCCCCUUUCUCGCUGGGGACCCUCGCCGCGCUCUGUGCUUUCCGGGGGUGGCGUGGGCGCUCAGGAGGCUGGCGCUGCCCGCGGCAUCACUCCCUGAAGCAUUGGCGCGGGCAGCCCGCGUGGCUCCGGAGACGGGGCAGGAAAUAGGAAAAAGGGGAUGAAAGGUCCCAGGAUGGGGGAGAAAGCCAGGAAGUAUCUGGCUUCACUGCUGGGAACUUCUGGGAGCUGCCUCCCCCGAAGCCAAGCCAGGCGUGGGUGAAACGCACGAAGCCUGGGGGCUAUGGAUGUUAGGGACGUUGCGAGUCUCGGUAGAUGCCUGGGGAUGGGGGAUAUGCAAGGGAAAAAGGGAUUUCUAGGAGGAGGAGAAGUGGCUUCCUGGCACUGUUGCAUCUCAAGGUGAACAUUUCUGCCACCACUGAACCGCACUGGGGGGCUAGUGAAGAGUGAUUGGAACACAUGGUGCUGUCCUGGUGGAGCUGGGGUAUGGGACAACACCUCAGAGAGGUGGGGACCACUGGCCCAGGACCCUCGGAAUGAGAUUCGGGAAGGUGACAAGGUGCUGCAAGGCUGGACUGCUAUCACCGCAGCCUAUGCCUCCCUCUGGUGGGGAAGAAUUGCUGUGCCAGUGGGAUAAAGUCUAUGGCUGCAAUUAGACAUCUCACACCCUUCCUGGGUGCCCACUGCUCUGACAGUGGCUGUGGGCAAUGAGCCACCUGCGAUGCCACCCACAGUGGAUGCCCAAGUGAGUGGACAAAGUCUUGCCCUUGCCAAGUUUUCCAUGGUCAAGGAUGAAGAUGGAGGCUGGCCAAGCUGUGGAGAUGAG
Long non-coding RNA from Pyrgilauda ruficollis (rufous-necked snowfinch), 957 nucleotides. RefSeq lists it as uncharacterized. The record is from RefSeq and is a predicted model, not a curated record. The transcript is spliced from 3 exons. NCBI's taxonomy places the organism in Eukaryota, Metazoa, Chordata, Aves, Passeriformes, Passeridae.